GACGAACGCUGGCGGCGUGCUUAACACAUGCAAGUCGAACGGAAAGGCCCUGCUUUUGUGGGGUGCUCGAGUGGCGAACGGGUGAGUAACACGUGAGUAACCUGCCCUUGACUUUGGGAUAACUUCAGGAAACUGGGGCUCAUACCGGAUAGGAGCUCCUGCUGCAUGGUGGGGGUUGGAAAGUUUCGGCGGUUGGGGAUGGACUCGAGGCUUAUCAGCUUGUUGGUGGGGUAGUGGCUUACCAAGGCUUUGACGGGUAGCCGGCCUGAGAGGGUGACCGGCCACAUUGGGACUGAGAUACGGCCCAGUCGCCUACGGGAGGCAGCAGUGGGGAAUAUUGCACAAUGGGCGGAAGCCUGAUGCAGCAACGCCGCGUGCGGGAUGACGGCCUUCGGGUUGUAAACCGCUUUCGCCUGUGACGAAGCGUGAGUGACGGUAAUGGGUAAAGAAGCACCGGCUAACUACGUG
RNAcentral lists this ribosomal RNA (468 nucleotides) under uncultured bacterium. Its description in RNAcentral is "partial 16S ribosomal RNA". It matches the Rfam family "Bacterial small subunit ribosomal RNA", at positions 28 to 507 of the family's 1533-position model. The record is from RNAcentral.